CCCGCGUCGUCCCAUCCCGAUCGAUCGAUUGAUCGAGUGAGAGAGAGAGACUGAGAGAGAGAGAGAGGGGGGGGGGCGAGGCGAUGGGGUUGAGAUUGUGGGUGGUGGCGCUUACCUUGGCGUCUUGGUGGUGCAUCCCUGCGGAGGGCGGCGGGGGAGGACGUGACGAAGAAGAAAGGGAACGGGGUCGGUCGCUGCUCGGCUUCACGGAAGCCAAGGGGAACGCUUCCUAUCAGUGCUCUCCCUCCGGGGCUUGCCUCCCCUGCCAGCACUCGGAAAAGAAUGAUGAGAAGUUUCUCUGCAGUGAAACUGGCUAUCAUGUGCCUUUGAAGUGUACAGAAAUCAAACACAGUGACAAGGAAGAAAAUAAGAAUAAAGUGAAGAGAAGGCUGUCCUCUCUUCCAAAGCAUCCAACCAUUGUGCAAAAACAUUUGUUUGAUGCAAUCAACAACUAUAAAGUGAGAAAACUUUUGGAUGAUUCGGUAAAACGGGAAGUUGGGAAUCAGAGCUACAUUACUUACAGGAGCUGUGUACCUGUCAUCGGUGAAGAGAAAUUAUCUGUUUUUGGUUUUGAGGUGAUUAUGGGGGGGUUGUUACUUAUAAGUGGGCCGGUCGUGUAUCUGCGGCAAAAGCGUAUAUCCAUUCAGGGGGUUGGAUUCAUGAAGAUCCCAGCAACUGUUCCUAAGCUCUAAUGUUGUGGAGCAGAUAAAGGAUAUACAACACAAUGUUUCCUGCAGAUAGACACACUAUUGCAUCUGCUAAGAGUUUCCUGUGCCAUGUGUUUCUAGCAUAUCAUUAAAAAAUAUAUAUCACUUGUAUUCAUUGAACGACAGUGUUGAUGUUCUCCACCUGUUCACAUACUCGUUGCACCAAUCCUCUCCCUCUUUAUCUAUCUCCAUUCAAGAAAGAAUGGCUGUUACAAAAGGAGCUCAUGCCUUGCCGAUGAAUUCGACAUCGAAGAGAAGGGUGGAAUUUGGAGGAAUGAGACAAGAACCUGAUCCAUACAAAACAGCAUUUGAGCAUAUACAUGUCUUAAUUCAUUUGUUCAAGUUAUCUGUUCUAAUUUGAUGUGCUGCCUAAUUUA
Non-coding RNA from Musa acuminata subsp. malaccensis (wild Malaysian banana), 1084 nucleotides. NCBI's taxonomy places the organism in Eukaryota, Viridiplantae, Streptophyta, Magnoliopsida, Zingiberales, Musaceae. The record is from RefSeq and is a predicted model, not a curated record.